Molecule: ribosomal RNA, 1911 nt
Filed under: Triticum aestivum (bread wheat)
Lineage: Eukaryota; Viridiplantae; Streptophyta; Magnoliopsida; Poales; Poaceae
Description: partial small subunit ribosomal RNA
Source: RNAcentral
AUGGCGAGCAGCGGCGACCCCGGAGUAUUUGGCGAGGCAUGCAUCAUCGGGCCAGAGAUCCGCCGCGUCCACGACUGGGUUCCCGAGGGGAUGGAGUUGCGGUUUGCUUUCUUGGUGCACAUUAGAAGGGAUAGGCAUUUGGACCUAGGAUGGCUGGUGCAACAUCUCGGGGAGAACCAAGUCGUCAUAAUGGCAGCUCUAGCCAGAACAGUUCAGUUGGUGCACGACAAUGUGGUGGCUCGACAAGCAAUUUAUGACAGGCACCUCGGGCUGAAAACCAAGAUGAGGCUUAGAAUGCAGUCCGUGUGGAUGAUGACGCAAAGGUACCUUUUUGCAUCCAUGACUGAGUGUAGAAAUGCACUUGUGCAAUACUGCAUCAAGGUAGAACAUACUUUCAAAGUUGACAAGAGCGAUCAAGUACGUUACAGAGUGCACUGUCCGACUGAGGGUUGUCCAUGGAGGAUGCUCGCAUCUAAAAUGCGAAAUAGCACGAAUGUUCAUGUCAAAGUAAACCCUUUUAAGCACACAUGCCAGGAAUCAACCCUUAAAAAGGAUACAAUCAGUAGAGCCAAGUCAAGAUGGGUGGCAGAACAAAUAAAGAAGUGGGUGGAAGAAAACCAACAAAUGGGUCCAAAGGAAUUGCAUAAGAACAUCAAAGACAAAUUCAAGAUAAAUUUACCAUACAUGAUGUUGUUCAAUGGUGAAGUGGAGAGGACCAGCCUAGGUAGUAUUGUAGAUAUUAACCACCACACCGUGGAGUACACAUUCGGGGGAGUAACAAAGACCAAUGAAUGCUUUAGGAGGGUUUUUGUCUGCUUUGAGGCUUGUCGCCGGGGUUUUUUGGCAGGCUGUAGGCCUUAUUUGGCUAUUGAUGCUACUUUUCUCACAGGAUAUCUGCUUCGUCUGGAGGUGGCCGGGAGCACACCCACGAGCACGCAGCCUCAACAAGGUAUGAACAUCAACACCCCACCUACCCAAUUAGCUUCGGGUGUCGGGUUGGGUGAUAGCCGAUGGGGUAAGGAGGAGGCUCCAUUAGUCGCUGAUGACGUCGCCAUGGAUGAGGAUGAGGAUGACGAUGGCACUCAACAGUAUGCCUAUCCUGGCACCUACUCAGGGUUUGAGCGUCAUGAGUCGGUGCCUGAAUUGCCGUCUCCGGAGGCUGAACGUAUCAUAGACGACCUUCCGGUAGCAAAGAAGUUUAGGAAGAGAGCGAGGAAAGGUUUGAAGAGAGCGGCAGGUAGACCAAGGAAGAGUCGAAUCAGACCUCGCAACAAAGGAGCUGGACUUGGAGCGAGGAAGCGUAAGUGCACAAGGUGUGGUGGGUCUGGUCAUUUCGGUAAGUAUUGUGAUAACACACUAGAUCCAGCGUUCGGAGAGAGUUUCGAUGAAGGCUUCGAUGAAAAUGUUGGUCAGCAGCCGGUUGCCUCAACAGAUGAUGAAAAUGAUGAUCAACAACCAGUUGCAUCAGAUGAGGAUUUUGACGAGGUUCCAAAUGAUGAUGGUCAACAGCCGCAUGAUUUUGACAAUGAUCCAAAAUAUCCUCCAAAUGAUGACUCAAGUGAGGCUCCAAAUGGUGAUCCAAAUGAGGCUCCAAAUGGUGAUCUAAAUGAGGCUUCAAAUGGUGAUCCAAGUGAGGCUCCAAAUAGUGACCAACCUUCUGUUGUUGUGAGUUCUGCUAGAUCUGCGGUAGGUUUGAAGAAGACGCGCAAGGUAGCGACAACCAAGAAGAGAAGAGAAGAAGAAGUGAGCACAAGGUGCACGAGGAACAAAGGCGCUGGAUGGACCGUUGGGCCGCCUCUUUGUCCGGGCCCGAGCGUAGUUAAUUUCCCAUUUCAGCCUUUCCAGGCCUGCAUGCAUGGGAAGGGCGGCGACGUGGGGAGGCGGACGUGCAUCCAUGCGAGCAAGGUGUAA